This 120-nucleotide transfer RNA is filed under the name Candidatus Woesearchaeota archaeon. Its description in RNAcentral is "tRNA-Leu". The record is from RNAcentral. Lineage: Archaea; Nanobdellati; Candidatus Woesearchaeota.
GUGGGCGUGCCGGAGCGGUCAACGUGUUAUCAGCAAAGGCGGAUAAUAUGACCAUACGGGAUAGGCUUAGGACCUAUUAGCUUAGUGCUUACUCAGGUUCAAAUCCUGACGCCCACACCA